GCAAUAUGUGCCAAGCCAAAACUACCAAAUUCCUCUCCAAUACUGAGAAUGAGGAAAGCCUUCGCUCUUGUUUGCGCUUUCUUAAUCUUGUUCGCUCUUCUCUUCCUCCCUUCCACCGAAGCUCGAGCACUACGUCAGAAAGGACCGAUACGGCCGCCAAGUGGGCGCACAUAUGUACCAGGCUCUCCGCCAGUUAGCCUUACAAGGCCAUGAAACCGAGGAGCUUAACUAAAGCUGCUCAUGAUAGCCAAAUUGCAUCCUAAUAUGAAGUACUAUCCCCAACAUCGUCAUCAUAAACAAACAAAGAAGCGAGUGAAGUCAGUUACUUGAUGGAGCCUCGUUUCCACGCCCAAAAAAUAUUAGGGGUUAUUACUUAUGCAGGAUGUACUUUAUGGUGUAAGACAAUAAAGCAAUGAAAGAGCGUGUCUCAGGUUUCAUCUUCUCUUUUAAA
Long non-coding RNA from Eucalyptus grandis, 451 nucleotides. RefSeq lists it as uncharacterized. The record is from RefSeq and is a predicted model, not a curated record. The transcript has 2 exons. Lineage: Eukaryota; Viridiplantae; Streptophyta; Magnoliopsida; Myrtales; Myrtaceae.